UGACGUUUCUUGCUGCAGCAUAAAAUUACAUACGGAUAUGCGUGCGUUUGUGUGAGUGUCAAUAAUAUGAGUAAAGAAACAGAUGAUCGUUGUAAUGUUGUAUUUGUUGUUUGUUUACUAAGUACAUAAGCGAUGUAAAGUCUCCAUCAUGAAAUAUGUGUAGUUUGUUGCGCUGUAAGUGAAAGUUAUUAACGAGUUUGUAGACAUGUUUGAUCGUAUAAUUGUGAAUAUUACAGAUUAAGUCAAGUGAACCAUUUAUGUUCUCCGGAGGAGAUUGAAUUUGUAGUGAUACUUACCGACUCUUGCUCAUCACCAGAGGCGUAGCUAGGGAGUGUUUGGGAAAGUGGAAAACUAAAUUUUGAGUUUAUUGGAAAUAUACUCCAAAAUUGUUUUCUUUGCACCCGGAGGGUGCAACA
Armigeres subalbatus is the source of this 416-nucleotide long non-coding RNA. RefSeq lists it as uncharacterized. The transcript is spliced from 3 exons. Lineage: Eukaryota; Metazoa; Arthropoda; Insecta; Diptera; Culicidae. The record is from RefSeq and is a predicted model, not a curated record.